Molecule: long non-coding RNA, 600 nt
Organism: Engraulis encrasicolus (European anchovy)
Lineage: Eukaryota; Metazoa; Chordata; Actinopteri; Clupeiformes; Engraulidae
Exons: 2
Source: RefSeq, a predicted model, not a curated record
CAGGUUUUCAAACGCGACGUCGCACUCCCUAACAACCUGCUUGUCACAGUGGUGUCCCUGCGCAUGGAAGAGGCAGAACAGAAAAGAUAAAGGGAAUCGGGGAAUCCUGCUUUCCGAGUCUGUCGUGACCACCAGAGGAAAGUGGUAAACGCAGGGCAGCCAUGAUGCAGGUUCAAUCCCCACCCUCUCCAUCUCCAAUCCCUCCCUCAGUGGUAGAAGUGCCCCCGAGAGAGGCAAUCCACACGCUGCUCCUCCAGGGACUGUGACCAAUACCCUGUUAGAUAUGCAAGUCACUUAGGAUAAAAUAAUAUGUAAAAUAAAAGACAAGAGCACUUUAAUGAGUUUGUUUCUUUUUAUUCUCCCUCCUUGGCAUUUUCAUGCAGGGUUUUGUUUUUUCAAGAGAGGAGAAAACUGGAUUGCAUUAGCACAUGACUGAGUCACUGGCAUAUUUAAUUUGACAUUGCAUGGUGGACGAGGGGGGUGUUUGAAUACAUCACCAGAACAUCACUUUUGGCCAAACUAGAGACAAUAUUCCACAAGAGCAACCCACGAUUCUUCAAAACGAAUGACUUCAGCUGUGUGGCACUCGCCUUCUUAAAA